Vicia faba (fava bean) is the source of this 285-nucleotide non-coding RNA. The record is from the annotation of a GenBank genome assembly. NCBI's taxonomy places the organism in Eukaryota, Viridiplantae, Streptophyta, Magnoliopsida, Fabales, Fabaceae.
AUGGCCACUCUUACGUCUCUCCCUCCCCUGCCUCACUCAAAACCAACCAGACUUUCCGUUUCAGCUUUAGCGCUCUCAUCCUCAGGCAAUGAUGGAUCUAGUUCUAGAGCACCUCACAAGAGAAGGCGAAGAAUUAAAGGUCCACGGAAAAGUAUGGAAGAUUCUGUUCAACCGAUUGGCGGUUUGGGUGAAAUUGGUAUGAAUUGCAUGCUUGUAGGGAAUCAUGACUGUUAUAUCCUCAUUGAUGCUGGUAUCAUGUUUCCUGACUGUAAGGUUUUUAUGUAA